This 71-nucleotide transfer RNA is filed under the name Streptococcus agalactiae. RNAcentral's name for it is "tRNA-Gly". It matches the Rfam family "tRNA". Rfam says of the family: Transfer RNA (tRNA) molecules are approximately 80 nucleotides in length. RNAcentral also lists the same sequence under 1 other name. Lineage: Bacteria; Bacillati; Bacillota; Bacilli; Lactobacillales; Streptococcaceae. The record is from RNAcentral.
GCGGGUGUAGUUUAGUGGUAAAAUUACAGCCUUCCAAGCUGUUGUCGCGAGUUCGAUUCUCGUCACCCGCU